This 72-nucleotide microRNA precursor is filed under the name Podarcis lilfordi (Lilford's wall lizard). Lineage: Eukaryota; Metazoa; Chordata; Lepidosauria; Squamata; Lacertidae. The record is from RNAcentral.
GGUGUGUGUGUGUGUGUGUGUGUGUGUAGACACACACACACAUAUACACACACACACACACACACACACAUA